RNAcentral lists this unclassified non-coding RNA (669 nucleotides) under Hevea brasiliensis (rubber tree). The record is from RNAcentral. Lineage: Eukaryota; Viridiplantae; Streptophyta; Magnoliopsida; Malpighiales; Euphorbiaceae.
AGAUUUGAAUUUCCCUUUUUUUUUAUUUUAUUUCGUUGCUUCUUUUAAUUAGUGAAAAACUUAGGUUCCUUUCUUGGCAUUUGAGUGAGGUGUAAAAUAAGAUUGCGGGAUAUAUACUCAGGAAGAUUGGUUCCCAUAGAUGUGUUGUGCAUCUUCAGCGAGGCACGCCAAUGGUAUUACACUUAAAAAUUGGGGUAUUAGAUUUUUAUAUAUAUAUUUUUUUCUUUUUGAGUAAUGCCUGGAGAAGGUGCUGGUUGGUGUCCGUAUAUUUUCUUCUUUAUUUGGGAUUUGUCUGUCUACCAAGAUUGUAUGCAAGGUUCUGUUUGAUCUAUCAGUGUGAAACAUUAUAAGGGAUUCUCUUCAUGUUCCCCUGCAAAUAAGUUACAGAUAUUCUGAUUCAUUUUUUAUUCUGACAGUGUAUUACAAUUAACUAGAUGAAUGUUAAGACUUCAUUCGCGAUUGUUGUUGGCGAUAUUUGGAUUAGCUUGUUUCUUGUUGCUGCUGUUAAUGCCUGGAUUUUGUGACAAUAUGCUUAUGAGCAAUAUCUGCAUCCUAAUGUACUUUACCUAUGAUGAAGUUAAGCUGUACGGUCACGAACCCCAACUGGCUUCAGUAUUGGAUCUUUUUUCUUUGCCAGUGAUUGCAUGAAUAUAAUGAUGCAUUUAAAGC